Molecule: long non-coding RNA, 1983 nt
Organism: Pan troglodytes (chimpanzee)
Lineage: Eukaryota; Metazoa; Chordata; Mammalia; Primates; Hominidae
Exons: 2
Source: RefSeq, a predicted model, not a curated record
AGAUGUGAUCACACGCCCAGUCCGGCAACCGCACGGGAAGUCUCUCCCCCUAGACUGUGCUCCAUGGGGUGGGCCCAGGCCUUGUGCUGUUUUUACUUAUAUCCCCCAUGGAGACCAGAGCUAGGCACAGAGUACAGCAGCACCCCAACUUUCAGCCGGUUACCCAUACAUCUCUCAUGUCAUUAAGAACAAUGAAACUAUAGCACACACACAUUCCAGUGGAAAAAAAUAAUUUUCAAAGUUCCCUGGAGUUCGUUGCAGUGGAAUCCAUGGCCCAGAGUAAUUAAAAAAAGCAAUCUUCGUGUCAGCUCCUCCCUGGCAGACUUAGCCUGCCAGAGCUAAUGAGACAGGCCACCCUUCAGCCAACCUCAUCAGUGACGACCACGCGGCCAGGAAGUCCUUGAUGUGCGAUGUGCAGUAGCUAACAAGGGCCCCCCUGCUGCGAAGCAACAACUUGCUGGGCAUGGAGCAGGGACCCACGGGUUCCCAUCAUUGCCUCCGGGCUAGUGGGACCCACAACUGUGCCAACACAGGGGCUUUGCUGGGCUGGCAAGUGCAGGGGGCCCCAGCCAGGCAGUUUCAGAAGAGCAGGCAUGACGCCAAGGCCUAGGAAGGAGGCCACAGAGUCCCGAGUAUCCCAGGGGGUCUUUGCUGGGAUCUGGCAUUGGGUGCCUCUCCCGCUACGCAGGGAUGGAGAGAAAAGACACCGAGAGUCCUGGGGCUGAUGAAGAGCUUGAGCUCAGAGCCUGACCACCCACAGACAGCAGAGUGAUGGACGCCUCCAUGACACAGAACGCAGCCCUCCCUGCAAAAUCACAGCCUGCAGCAUCUCAGGGCCCGUCUUCCACCCCAGCCCAUUGUCAUUCUGCAUAAAAGCAGAAAAAAAAAAAAAAAAGGCACCAAACUGCACCAAGCGUGCAACAGAUGCAGCUCAAACAAACUCGUGUACGACACGGAAGAGACAAAAGCGUUGCCGGCAACUUGUUUGGGACACACAUGAUACAGAAAGGUGACGAAACAUCACAGAUCUGUGGAAAAACAACUAAACUGCAAACUGAAGAAUGGGCUUGGGCAGACCACUCACAGAAGAAAUCCCAAAAGCCAAUAAAUGACUUGAAACUAUCCAGUGUCACUAUUAAAGAAAUGCAGAUGUAAAUAAAGUUUGACUUUCAAACCAGCAAAAAAUGUAUGAAACUAUGAAGCUCGAUGUGUGUGAUCAUCAGCAGAGGCCGACGCUGCAGGCAGGGCCAAAUCUUCUGACCCUGGCCCCCAGGGAGGAACCCAGAGGCCAGUCAGGGAGGGGCAGCGAGCUCACGGCCAGGCAGCGCCACAGCACUGGCGACCCUCAGGGAGAACAGGCACUACCCAGGGCUGGAUGCGUAACGGGCCCCCCGGCCACACCCCACCGCCCACCAGAGCCGCAGCUCCUGAGAACGCAUCCGGAGGCAAGGCCAAAGUCAGCCAUGGCACAAACAUUUGUGCAUCAAGGUCCUGUUGCCCUGCAACAACUCACCACAAACAGAGGGGUGGAAACCUCCAUGUCAUUGGACGGCCCAGCGGCCAGAAGUCCAACGCCAUCUCCCUGGGCUGAUGUCUGUGCAAGCAGGGCUGAUGCCGUAGCUUUUCCGGCUUCUGGAAGCUGCCACAGCCCCUGGCUCAUGGCACCAUCCUCACAUCCUCUGAAUCCACAUUCUCCUCUGAAUCUCCUGCCUCCCUCUUUCCACUGUAAGGACCCUGUGAUGACACUGCACCCUCAGACCCUGGUAACCCAGGUUCAUCUUUCCACCUCAGGGCGUCUGACUUAAGCCUGCCUGGAGGGUCCCUGUGGUCACAUUCAUGGGUUCCAGUGUUCAGACACGGCCACUUUGUGGGAUCAUUACUCUGCCUACCACACCAUGUGGCCCUGUGUGUGUUUUCAGGGGGCAUUUGCACUUAUAUGCAAAUAACACAUAUAUGAAUAAACGUGUGAAUGGUGGUCACGUA